AUUAAAAUUCAAUUAUGGAUCUGUGGAACGUCUUUACUUCAUUCAAAAUAUAUUUCCGUUACAUUGUUCAUUAAUAAAAUUAUGUUGGAAGAGUUCAUCAGACCAGACAGUAUGUUAUUUUAUGUGAACAAUUCACAAUUUCCUCAAGACUGUAACUCUCUCACCCAGUUCUGAGUAAUGCUUCCUGACCCAAAAUGCUAACUGAUUUCUCAGAUAUUGCUUUACCGGCUGAGAUCUUCCACAAUUUUCCGUCGUUAUCAGCACAUUCUUCCGCCUGCAAAAGAAUUCUUCACUGAACUUAUAACUCGUAGUGAGAAUCAAAUUAAAUACACACCUAGACCUUAACACACACAAAAUGCUGGAGGAACUCAGCAAAUUAGGUAGCAUCUAUGGGAAUGAAUAAACAGUCAACGUUUCGGGCUGAGAUUCUUCUUCAGGACUGGAAAGAAAGGUGGAAGAUACCAGAAUAAAGAGUGACGGAGGGGAAGGAAUAUAGGUGAAGCUGGGUGCGUGGAAAAUGUAAAGCGCUGGGGAAGAAGGAAUCUGAUAGGAGAGUGGACCAUGGAAGAAAGGGAAGAAGGAGGAGCACUAGGGGGAGGUGAUAGGCCGUUGAGAAGGUGUAAGAGGCCACAGUGGGGAAUAGAAGACGAGGGAAGGGAGGGGAGGGAAAUUUAAACCUUAAUCAUUGUUAAUUAUGUUUCCAUAAUGCUUCCUGCUUUUUUUUCACCGGCAUGAACCGGUGAAAUACAAUAACUGACACGAAGCCGAGUGUAACGAAUUUAGGACAUCCCAAACAGAGUGACCCCCACCCACCCUCUACUUCCUCUGACUCAACGACGUGCCUCCAAUUUGUUUUGAUUCUUUCGGUGCCCAGAAUGCGUUAGGUUUGCGCAUGCGCAGCGUGGCACUAGCUGGCUCCUCGGAGGAGGCCGCCUUCAGCCAGGGGUAGAAAGAGGGGGGGAGGAAAGCUUCCACCUGCGGUCCGAGUGGCUCCUACCAUCGGCAGAGAUAAUACCUUACCGCUGGGAGCCUCGGCCAAACCCCGUCACCUCCUCCUCCCUCCCCUCCCGAUCGAGCGAAGGAGACGGAUGCACGGGGGCAACAGGCCUGUCUGAGCACUGUCAAUGCGUGUUCUCUCCCCAUCCGUUCUCCUUCCAAUGUUGCUCGUCUCCGCCGCGGCACCGGAUUUGAAUUGUGGGAGGAGCAGCGCGGCCGGACGCGGACCUGGAACUGCAGCUGUGCGCCCCGCUGCCCAUCGCCGCCUUCUCCGCCGCUGAGGUGGCUUUCUCCAGUCUUUUCCCGUCCCCGCCUGCCAUGAACAGCGGCGGUGGCGGGCUGCAGAGCGUGGGCUGCAAGGUGAAGUACUGCCGUUACUAUGCCAAGGACAAGACCUGUUUCUACGGCGACGAAUGUCAAUUCCUGCACGAGGAUCCCAACAAUGGCGGCGCUUCCGCGAGCCUCGGUCUUGUCGUCAAUAACAACCACCCGGGACUGGGAGUCGGGGCGGUCGCGGCGACGGCGGCGGUCGGAGGUGGCGGCGGGGGAGGAGCUGCUGGAGGUGUCGCCUCCGUUAGCGGCUGUGGAGGGGCUGUUAGUGGUGGCGGGAUAACAGCAGCAGGCGGAGGCGGAUUCCCCCACGGAGGGCUCAAGAAAAACGAGAUCAGCAGCUUGGUGGAACCCGGGCAGCUUCUCACCAUUCCAGGAAUGGAUACAACAAUACCAGAUAACCUCACCAACUCGUUCUUCAGCAGCAGCUUUAUUGGGGUCAAUGGCUUUGGAGGAGGGCCAGCUGAGCCAAAGUACCCUCUGAUUCAGAGGCAAGCUAACAGCAGCAGCUCACCGAGCCUGUUGAGUGAUUGUGCCAAAGCUUAUGCCUGUGCAGGACAUGAUCAACUAAGUUUACCUGCCUCAUUGUUCAGUGAUUUCUCUAGCCUCAACAUCUCCCAAAGGAGAAAGGCACCAAAUCCAGCUGCAAGUGAGUUCAUCCCAAAAGGAGGAUCAACCCCAAGGCUAAGUUCUGUGUCCCAAUCCAAUAUGUCUGCCUUUUCACCAGCCUUAUUCUCUCAUCCGUCAUUGGGCAGUCCAUCAGCAGCUGUCUUAGCUCCAGGAAUGUCCUUAUCAGCUGGAUCGUCUCCUCUGCACUCUCCAAAAAUAACUCCUCAUACAUCGCCUGCCCCUCGAAGAAGGAGCCAUACUCCAAAUCCAGCAAAUUUCAUGGUAGCUACUAGUGCCUCUACACCAGUGUCUGAUGCAGUCUCUCAGUCUUCAUCUUCUGGUCAGGUGAUACAAAAAGAAACUGUGGGAGGGACAACUUACUUCUAUACUGACACAACUCCAGGACCUCUUCCAGGAAUGGUAUUUCCAACAUAUAUUUAUCCUUCAUCUGCACCCCAUGUUGCUUAUAUGCAACCCAAAGCAAAUGCACCUUCUUUCUUUCUGUCCGAUGAACUCAGACAGGAAUUGAUCCACAAGCAUUUAAUAACUAUGGCACAGAUUGACCAAACAGAAAAUCCAGGGUUUCCAACUGAAGUGGACAGUUACCACAGUCUUUUUCCUUUGGAGCCCCCACCAGCUAACCGGCUACAAAAAACAAGUAAUUUUGGUUUCAUUACAUCAUGUUAUAAAGCUAUCAGUAGCAAAGACGAUCUCCCAUACUGCCUACGCAGGAUACAUGGUUUUCGUCUUAUUAACACAAAGUGUAUGGUCUUAGUAGACAUGUGGAAGAAGAUACAGCAUUCAAACACAGUAACACUGAGAGAGGUAUUCACUACCAAAGCAUUUGGAGAACACUCACUUGUAUUUGCAUAUGAUUUCCAUGCUGGAGCAGAGACUAUGAUGAACAGGCACUUCAAUGACCCUAGCGCUGAUGCCUAUUUCACAAAAAGAAAAUGGGGUCAGCAUGAUGGACCUCUCCCUCGCCAACAUGCAGGAUUAUUGCCAGAGUCACUUAUCUGGGCCUACAUUGUCCAGUUGAGCUCAGCACUGCGGACCAUUCAUACUGCAGGACUAGCCUGUCGUGUGAUGGAUCCAACCAAGAUUCUUAUAACUGGUAAAACCAGGUUGCGUGUAAAUUGUGUUGGAAUUUUUGAUGUCUUAACUUUUGAUAGUAGUCAAAAUAAUCCACUGGGAAUGAUGCCUCAGUAUCAGCAAGCUGAUCUGAUAUCUCUGGGAAAAGUGGUUUUGGCCUUGGCAUGCAAUUCUGUGGCAGGAAUUCAACGAGAGAAUAUACAAAAGGCUAUGGAUUUGGUGUCACUCAAUUAUUCUUCAGACCUGAAAAACCUAAUUUUAUAUUUGUUGACUGAUCAAAAUCGGCUGCGCAGUGUAAAUGAUAUUAUGCCAAUGAUUGGUGCCAGAUUUUACACACAAUUGGAUGCUGCACAGAUGAGAAAUGAUGUUAUAGAAGAUGAUCUGAUGAAGGAGGUGCAAAAUGGAAGGCUGUUUAGGCUGCUAGCAAAAUUGGGAACAAUCAAUGAGAGGCCAGAGUAAGCUUUAUUUAUAGAAACUCUCAACAGAAAAUGAAGUUGUAGAGUUAUUGUUCCCAUCUCCUUCUCUCUUUUCACUUUUUCUUUUCUGAAUAUUACCUCGUAUGUAGUCUAGGCCUGAGAUUCCACUGAACAUUCAGUUAAUCAGAUUGUAUGAUUCCAAUAAGUCAUAGCUAGUUUAGUAAUUAUCAGCAGUGGAAUUAAAUGAAAUAAUUGGCUUUUUAUUUAUGCAGGAGAAAUGGGUGAGUACUUAAAAUAUUUAAUUCCGAUCUUAUUUUUCAUUGUAUACUAUUUAGUUCCAUUUUAUUGGUACAAAUUGUUAAAAUUUGUGAGCCAAAAUCACACAAGCUGGAUGUCAGUUUCUUGGGAUUAAAAUAUGCAACCAUCAGAUUUGAUAAUUUAGCAUUGGGCUAUUUGAAUGACGUGAAUAAAUGGAAGAAAAGAAUAUUUUUUGGUUCCAUUUUUCUGUGCAGUUAGUGAUGAUCAGUUUUAUCUAUUUUGCAAGUAUUAGUGAUAGCGUAUAUUCAGUUUUAAUACUAAUACUAGAAUAGUAAUAUUUGCUGCACUACCUGUUGCAAAAAGCCACGCAUCCACGUUCAUUGAAUUUUCUUGCUAUUGUACUUCUGUCCAUCUUCUAUAUCCAUAAAUAGAAGCUUACCCGAAACUCUCGUAUCUAUAUCCUAUUUUACAAAAAUCUGUUCGCUGUUCACCACUGCCUUCACUAACCUACAGUUGCAAGAAAAAGUUUGUGAACCCUUUGCAAUUACUUGUUUUUCUGCAUUAAUUACUCAUAAAAUGUGGUCUGAUCUUCACCUAUGGCACAAUAACACAAUCUGCCUAAACUAAUAACACACGAACAUUUGUACUUUUCAUGCAACACACAUCAAAGUUGCUGGUGAACGCAGCAGGCUAGGCAGCAUCUCUAGGAAGAGGUACAGUCGAUGUUUCAGGCCGAGACGCUUCGUCAGGACUAACUGAAGGAAGAGUUAGUAAGAGAUUUGAAAGUGGGAGGGGGAGAUCCAAAAUGAUAGGAGAAGACAGGAGGGGGAGGGAUAGAGCCAAGAGCUGGACAGGUGAUUGGCAAAGGGGAUAUGAGAGGAUCAUGGGACAGGAGGCCCAGGGAGAAAGAAAAGGGGCGGGGGGAACCCAGAGGAUGGGCAAGGGGUAUAGUCAGAGGGACAGAGGGAGAAAAAGGAGAGUGAGAGAAAGAAUGUGUGUAUAAAAAUAAAUAACGGAUGGGGUACGAGGGGGAGGUGGGACAUUAGCAGAAGUUAGAGAAGUCAAUGUUCAUGCCAUCAGGUUGGAGCCUACCCAGAUGGAAUAUAAGGUGUUGUUCCUCCAACCUGAGUGUGGCUUUAUCUUUACAGUAGAGGAGGCUGUGGAUAGGCAUAUCAGAAUGGCAAUGGGAUGUGGAAUUAAAAUGUGUGGCCACUGGGAGAUCCUGCUUUCUCUGGCGGACAGAGCAUAGGUGUUCAGCAAAGUGGUCUCCCAGUCUGCGUCGGGUCUCGCCAAUAUAUAAAAGGCCACAUCGGGAGCACCGGACAUAGUAUAUUACCCCAGCUGACUCACAGGUGAAGUGUCGCCUCACCUGGAAGGACUGUCUGGGGCCCAGAAUGGUGGUAAGGGAGGAAGUGUAAGGGCAUGUGUAGCACUUGUUCCACUUACAUGGAUAAGUGCCAGAUCCGCUUACAAGGUUUGUUGUACUUUUCAUGUCUUUAUUGAACACAUUGUUUAAUCAUUCACAGUUGAGGCUAGAAAAAGUAUGUGAACCCUUGUAGUUAAUAACUGGUAGAACCUCCUUUAGCAGCAAUAACCUCCACCAAAUGUUUCCUGUAGCUGCUGAUCAGACUUGCACAACAGCAAGGAAGAACUUUAGACCAUUCCUCCAUACAAAACUAUUUCAGUUCAUCAAUAUUUCUGGAAUACCUUGCAUGAACAGCCCUUUUCAGGUCCUGCCACAGCAACUCAAUUAGGUUAAGAUCUGGGCUCUGACUUGGUUGUUCCAAACCACACAUUUUCUUCUUUUUAAACCAUUCUGUUGUUGAUUUACUCUUGUGUUUCUGAUUACUGUCAUGCUGCAUCAUCCAACUUCUAUUAAGCUUCAGGUGAUGGACGGCUAUCCCAGCAUUCUCCUGCAAAAUGUCUUGAUACAAUUGUGAAUUCAUUCUUCCCUCAACAAUUGGAAGCUGUCCAGCCCCUGAGGCAGCAAAGCAGCCCCAAACCAUGAUGCUGCUUCCUUCAUGCUUCACAAUAGGAUAAUGCUUUGGUGUUGGUGUGCAGUGCCCCUUUCCCUUCAAACACAGCAAUAUGCAUUUCUGCCAAAAAGUUCAAUUAUUGUCUCAUCUGUCCACAGAACAUUGUCCCAGAAGUGUUGUGGAACAUCCAGGUGGUUGUUUGCAAACUUGAGAGAAGCAGCAAUGUUUUUUUUUGGAGAGCAGUGGUUUUACUCUGUGGUGUCCUUCAUGAAUGCCAUUCUUCUUCAGUGUUUUUCUUAUAGUGGACACACGAACAGAGACUGUAGCAAAUUCCAGAGAAUUCUGCAAGUCUUUUGCUGUUAUCCAUGAGUUCUUUUUCAGCUCCUUCAGCAUUGCACAUUGUGCUCUUGGUGUGAUCUUUGCAGGACUCCCACCCCUAGGGAGAGUAGCAACAGUACUGAAUUUCCUCCAUUUGUAGACAAUUUCACAUAAUGUGGACUGAUGAACACUCGGGGCUUUAGAAAUGCUUUUGUAGCUUUUUCCGGCUUUGUGCAUCUCUGCAUUUCUUCUAACAUCCUUUGAAAGUUGUUUCGAUCACAGCAUGGUUCAAAUAAACAGAUCUUUCUUGAGAAGAGCAGGCUCUGAGUAACCUGACUUAGUGUGUUUUUUAUAGGGCAGGGCACCUCUACAGUGCACACCUCCAAUCUCAUCUCAUUGACUCCAAAAAGCUUUUAUAGAAGGCAUUACCCCAGAGGUUCACAUACUUUUUUGAACCCAGACUGAGAUUGUUUAAAUGGUGUACUCAGUAUUGACGAGAAGAAGUACAACUGUUUGUGUGUUAUUAGUUUAGGCAAAUUGUGUUUGUCUAUUAUUGUGACUUAGAUGGCAUAUUAUGAGUAAUUAGUGCAGAAAACUAGGUAAUUGUGAAGGGUUCACAAACUUUUUCUUGCAACUGUACACAGUGCCUCAGUUUCUUUUUAAAUUCUCAUACAUAUUUUUAAAUUUCAAGGACUCUGCUGCACUCUUACACUCUACCAAGUCCUCUGUGUAGCUAGGCUUUUGCACAUAUUUGGCAUUCAGUCAAUACCUACCUCUCUGUUCAUCCCUCUGCAACUUCUACCCCCACCCACCUUGACUGGUGAAGACAAGCAUACCUGUGCCUUCUAUAUCUCCCUCUCUACCUGUUCUGCCAUUUUCAAGGAGUUGUGGAAUUGCAACCCCUGAUCCCUCUGUAUGUCCAUGCUCCUUAGAGUCCUCUGGCAUUUAUUGUAAUCGUUUAAAUGCUGCGUUUCUGAAAAGCACUUUUGUGUCUUGUGUGUAUGUGAAAAAUCAAGUCCUCAUUUGGAAAAAGAGCAACCAAGCCAGGUGUUUCAAAAUCAUGGAACUCCAUUCUUUACAUAUUUUAAUUAUAUAUUGAAAGAAAGAAUUAGACCUAGCAAAAAGCCUCAUUUGUGUUUUUAUUAUAGUUUAUUGACAAUAAAUGUAGAAAGGCACACACUACCACAUCAGACAUCCUUGUUGAGAGAUGAAAACAGGAAAAAAUGUUGGUUUGGUUACCGUACAUUAAAACUGGAACGUUGACACUUUGUGCAAGUUCAGAGUUGGGAAUGGGAUAGAUGGAUAAAAGGGAGAAGAAGAUGUCUUUGCACUCAGCCAGAGAAUGUGGUGAUUAAAGGAUGAAAGGAAUAAUGAUGCAAUGCAGAAGAUAUUAGGAUAUGUAAAAUGGGUCUCAACAGCCUGUAAAUAGCAGCACACGUGUUAUUAGUACCUGCUUUCAGCGAAUUUGGAAUUAAUUGUAAAGUCUGUAGUUACUGAAAUCAAAAGUUAUCAUGCCACUUUCAUCUUCAGUUCAUUCAAGCAGUACAGGAAGUAGAAGAUACAGGUUCAUAGCAAAAUGAUCAUACAUACUGGAUCUGCAUUAUGAAACCACACUGAGCUACUUUGUACUUAGUUGAAAAUAAUAGAAAUCAGUGACUCUUUUACCCAGUCAAUUAUAUGUGAUGUUGAAUGUAAGAAAUAGGAGCAGUCCAUCUGGCCCAUUGAGGAUAGCAGUGCUCCUGCCUUCAGAUUGUAUCCUCUUUGGACUCAUUGCUUAAGUUAAGAUAAACCAGUUACACUCUUUGCCUAGAUGAUGAUCCCAUAACCUCUGCAUCAGACAUUUUUCUGGCAUCAUGUUUUGUUCAUUAUUAUGAACAGUAAACCUUGUAAUAGAGUGAGUCCAUGGGAGAUUACUUAAGGUCCAGAACAACUUUUAUUGAGAAAGAGGCUGUUUUUUUUUCUUAACAGCAGAGACUGAGGGAAAAUUAGUUGAGAUUGAUAAAAUUGUGACAGACCUACAAAAAGUGGAUUGGAUUGAUCUAUUUCACUUCACAAAGAAGUGAGGCAUAAACACAAGAUAAUUAUUCAAAAGAUAUGAGCAGCAAUGGAAAAAAUGUUUACUCUGUGGAUGGGGUUGGAGCUGAAGACUUAAAGGCACCUUCUGAAUAAACUUAAAAGAAGAUUUACAUACUGUUGCUUCCAAAUCUCCAGAACAAGUGCAGGAAAGUAGUAUUUGCCCUUUAAUGACUUGCAAGGAUGUGGUGGGCCAGUAAGUGUCUCCUAUACUAUAGAUUUUAGCAUAAUCUUUAAGUUAAAUUGCUAGCCUCAGGUAAUCUGCUGUAACCCUGAGUUUUAGUUUUUUUUAACUACUAAAUACUCUCUUUCUCAGGGUCAAAUUAAUUCAUGCAUAGUUCUUUACUUGAUAAUGAUUUAUUAAGGAAGCCUGGAAGUUGAAACAUUUUGAUCCAAUUUCUGUUGUUGAGUUAUUAAAAAGAACCACACACCUUGGCCACAUCACAUGCACAAAAUACAAUGGAGAAAUUUAAAACUGCAUAGUUUUAUCAUGAAAGGAACGGCUAGUCCAUUUUCUUGAUGGACAGGACUUGAGCAUGAAAUGGUGCAAACACUUCAAAACAAGAACACAUUUUUUUGCGUAAUUUAAUUUAGAGAAACUGUAGAUUAAUCCCAGUUUCUAGCCAGAAGUCGUCUUCACUCAAUACUACACAGCAACCUGACUUACAGAAACCUUUACAGAAAUCAUCAAGGCAUUUUGAGUUGUAUCUCUGCAAACGACCAUGUUGAUAUCAGAUGGAUAGUGAGGAUGCUAACUUGCCACUGUUACUACAGAAUCCAAUUCCAGUCAACUCUCAGCCCAGUUGUUUCAUACAUUGUUUGAAAUGACCAGAAAUGGGCUCCAACCAAUUUUCAAGCACAGUAUCAAUAUUUGUCUCAUUCCUCGUUAGCAGUGGAACUGUCUCUUGUGAAUCAGAAAAUUUAGAAGAUUUAAUUACUGCAUAAAUCUGAGCUGUGCUACAUUGAGCAAAAAUUUCAUAGCUUCAGGUUUGAUUUGUUGACUUGUUUCAUUGGUGUAAAAGAUUCCAAGUCAUUACUUUGAACUGAAAUUGACAUUUCUCAGUGCUCAUCACUUAUCGCUUGACAGUCAUUUUUCAUUUAUAUAGCUUCUAUUUGUGGGAUUUUUUAAUACAUACUUUGCUGCAUUUAUCUACAAGAUGGUGUCUAUAUUUAAAGAAAUAUUUAUUAACUGCCAUUCACUUCAUGAAAAGCAGCAAUGUGAAAGGCUGAGUCCUAUUUCCCUCUCAUGGUAGAGGUACUAUCAGUGUGGUUAAGUUAAGAUUCUUGACCUAAUUGCAAACAUUCACCACUGGCUGAUGCACUGAAAUAGAGUGAAGAAAGAUCAGUAGCUGAAUAAAAAUUAUUAAACUAAGAAAAAAUAUUUUGUGUUUCUGAAAAAAAUUACAUUAAUGAUCUAAAUUUGGCUGAGUUAUGUGGAAGAAUUAAGAGGACUUUAUUAAAGUCAAAUAAUUUGUACAUGUGAUCUGCCUUGUUGCUCCUGGAUUUUUAAAAAACAAAAUACAUUAACAGGAAGAGAAUUUCAAUGCAACAAGAGCCACUUGGAAAUGACAGGAAUGCAUAUUUAUUAAGGCAUAAAUAUUUUAUGGUUUUCCCAAAUUAAUAAAUAUGUGAUUUGAUUGUGGAGAUCGAACUACAUUCAAAGAAUAAGGAAAAAACAUUCUGAAGAUUCCAAAAAGAUCCUACCUGGUCAGAAACAGGUGACCGAUACCUGCUAAAACUGUUUAGAGAUCAUCUUUUCCACCAGUUAACUGAAGCAGGUACUCCGUGGAUCGAUC
This is an RNA transcript of Mobula hypostoma (lesser devil ray), 9864 nucleotides long. It is a transcript of the gene named poly(A) specific ribonuclease subunit PAN3, with no coding region annotated. Lineage: Eukaryota; Metazoa; Chordata; Chondrichthyes; Myliobatiformes; Myliobatidae. The record is from RefSeq and is a predicted model, not a curated record. The transcript has 17 exons.